This 1441-nucleotide long non-coding RNA is filed under the name Calidris pygmaea (Spoon-billed sandpiper). Its description in RNAcentral is "lncRNA (ENSCPGG00000014112.1)". The record is from RNAcentral. Lineage: Eukaryota; Metazoa; Chordata; Aves; Charadriiformes; Scolopacidae.
AUUCAUGUUUCCAAAGAGCAGAAGAAACAGAAGCUGGGGGAUCCUGGAGCCAGUGGAAUCCAUGUGUUCCUCUGUGUGACCGUCCAGGACCCACUUCUCUCCUGGAGUCAAACGUACUUACGCUGCCAAGGAUGGAAAACUGGGCUCCUCUUUCCUAACCUGGUUUCCCACUCCUCCCUUCCAAAUUCGUUGGGCUCCCACAAAGAUCCUGUGCAGACAGAGAGACAGAGAGACAGACAGACAGCGUGCUCCUGUUUUCCCCUUGUCUGCUCUGGCUCAGCACGUCCCUGGCUGUGGGGUGUGGGAAGGGGCAGGGGCUGGAAGGGCAUUUCCCACCAUCUGCCUGCACGGAGGCAGACUUUAUAGCACAGGGAAUUUUAAAACCUGCCCUUUAUUCCUUAGUCUUAAGCAGGAAUAUAACUUAUUUUUGCAUUUCUUUUGUCCCAAGGUAUAGCAGGAAGUCAUCGAGUCUGUAUGAAAACAAGUCCGAGACAUCAAACGUGGAAGCAUCUAACAACAAAAACAGGAAUUCCAGUCCCAGCGCCAGACAAAAGAGAGGCUGGCCCGGCAGGCAGAUGCCAUCUCUAGACACCUUUGAAGAUUUUGAAGCCAUCCCCUCCAGCACGGACGAGCUCUCCAACUCCUCUGACUUGGAGGAAGAGACCAACCCCAACAAUGUAAUUCCUUUUCCAAAUUACGCUGCCCUUUCCCAGGGCGACCUCCUCCUCGCUAAAGAUCACGGUGUGAGCUCCACGGCUCGGGGUCACACCAGCCUUAGACUCGUGGGUGUGGGGGAACACGGGUGGCAAUUUGACCUGGGGUGUUGGGGGAUUAUCCCAAGGCUAUUUUGUUGAUCAGGAUCAGGGCCAUAAAAAGGCACCUUUACUCAUAAGCUGUAGCUUUACUUCUUGUAAAGGGGAGGGAAAACUCUGAGCCCUUAAAAAAGUAAUUUCAGACUUUUCCAGGAAACUUAACCUGGUGUCACAAACCCCGUUUCUCUGUCAGAAUAAUGGCUGGUGGGUUCAUUCUAAAGCCUGAAUGCACAGCACAGCUCUGUCCUAAAUUUGAAUAAUAUUUAACCUGGGCAUGAUAAAAGGAAUAAGAAGUGGCACAGAACAAAUCUCUGCCAGCUUGAAAUGCCUCACUCAGUAUUUGACUGACCUCGCCCUCUCUUUCAUCCAUAGUGACUGUAUUUCUGGUGCAUUCUCUCGUUCAUUUUAGGGGACCAAUCUCUUUCGGGUCGAAGGCAGCUUUGACAGCUGUUUCCCGGAUUCUCUGACCCUGGAGGACGGAGAUUUAGUGCAGUUUGUGCAGGAAGGAGAGAACGGUCAGUGGUGAGUACCGCAGAGAGAGAGGAUUUGACAGGCAGAGCAGCCAUAACCCCCUGGAAAAGGCGGAAAAUAUUCAGAAGGAUGUCAAAGCCUCUUCAAAAUCAAUCCAG